AACGAACGCUGGCGGCAUGCCUAACACAUGCAAGUCGAACGAGACCUUCGGGUCUCGUGGCGCACGGGUGCGUAACGCGUGGGAACCUGCCCUUAGGUUCGGAAUAACUCCCCGAAAGGGGUGCUAAUACCGGAUCAUGUCUUCGGACCAAAGAUUUAUCGCCUUUGGAUGGGCCCGCGUUGGAUUAGCUAGUUGGUAGGGUAAAAGCCUACCAAGGCGACGAUCCAUAGCUGGUCUGAGAGGAUGAUCGGCCACACUGGGACUGAGACACGGCCCAGACUCCUACGGGAGGCAGCAGUGGGGAAUAUUGGACAAUGGGCGAAAGCCUGAUCCAGCAAUGCCGCGUGAGUGAUGAAGGCCUUAGGGUUGUAAAGCCCUUUUACCCGGGAUGAUAAUGACAGUACCGGGAGAAUAAGCACCGGCUAACUCCGUG
This 433-nucleotide ribosomal RNA is filed under the name uncultured bacterium. RNAcentral's name for it is "partial 16S ribosomal RNA". It matches the Rfam family "Bacterial small subunit ribosomal RNA", at positions 29 to 507 of the family's 1533-position model. The record is from RNAcentral.